UACAGAGGGUGCGAGCGUUGUCCGGAAUCACUGGGCGUAAAGGGCGCGUAGGCGGCUUGGUAAGUAGGGGGUGAAAUCUUGCGGCUCAACUGCAAGGCUGCCUCCUAAACUGUCAGGCUUGAGCACAGUAGAGGCAGGUGGAAUUCCCGGUGUAGCGGUGGAAUGCGUAGAGAUCGGGAAGAACAUCGGUGGCGAAGGCGGCCUGCUGGGCUGUUGCUGACGCUGAGGCGCGACAGCGUGGGGAGCAAACAGG
RNAcentral lists this ribosomal RNA (253 nucleotides) under uncultured bacterium. RNAcentral describes it as "partial 16S ribosomal RNA". It matches the Rfam family "Bacterial small subunit ribosomal RNA", at positions 524 to 776 of the family's 1533-position model. The record is from RNAcentral.